AGUACACAGCAGGUGAGUUCAUAGCAGAUAUUUUCUCUUUGCGCCCUGAUAGAGAAACAUCUGUCGCUACCUAGGAUUGAACGCUCAACCUUCCGAGGGAGAGGCACGCAUCUUCACCUCUAAGUCAUCACGUCACUCA
Molecule: non-coding RNA, 139 nt
Organism: Pseudonaja textilis
Lineage: Eukaryota; Metazoa; Chordata; Lepidosauria; Squamata; Elapidae
Source: RefSeq, a predicted model, not a curated record